Molecule: long non-coding RNA, 1648 nt
Organism: Bos indicus x Bos taurus (hybrid cattle)
Lineage: Eukaryota; Metazoa; Chordata; Mammalia; Artiodactyla; Bovidae
Source: Ensembl
AGUUAAUCUAUUGGAGCUGAAUUACAUUGCCUUUUAUUUUCUUAAGUGUAAAAAGUACUUUACAUAUUAAAUUUAGAGUAAACAUCCUGUCUGAUGUUGCGUAUGAACAGAUCUGUUUCCUUGAUCCUGUUUCAUUCUGACCCUCUGCUAAGCAUCUGAUCCAUGCAAUCUGCAUUCAACUAUGGAACCAAAGACAGCAGCACUGUCCAGCCCCUGUCCUUGUCAUCAACGUUUGCCAGAGGAAUUGAAUGAACUAAAUACAGAGUUUUGUGAUGAAAGUGUAACAUACUCCGAACUCAAACUUCGUGAUUCUUCAAAUAUUCAGAAGAGAAAACUAACUAGGAUUUGGAAAGCAAAAGGUAAAAAAUGUAAAACUCUAGACUCCUUUUUUUGCCUUCAUAUUUUAAUGAGAAGUCAUGAAAAUAAAAGGACUAAUCUUUCAAAUGGAAAUCAUCCCUCAUACACUUUUAAGCAGGUCAUAAGGACCCAAAGUCUAGUGUUUAGAGCAAAUGGAAAUGAACAAUGAACAACUGAUCAUUUUGCUCUGAAUAAUCAACCAUGGCUUAAAAUGAUGUACCAUGCCAUAGAAUGAAGAAUGUUUCUAGAUAUUUUGGGGGUUGAUAUUUUAGCUUUGCAAAAGGUAAGUGCUCCUUUUAUGCUACAAUAUUUCUAAAAAUGAAAUGGACUGUGGGAGGUAUAUCAUAGUAGCCAGAUUUUAUCAAAACUAUCACAGAGUAUCUGUCAAGGUCAACAGCUAAUGCAGAAGUUUUAUUCUUAGUUCUGCUACAAAGAUGGGGGAAAAAAUUGUUUAAUUAAAGGAAGGUGAUAAAUUAAAUCCCUUGUAGGAUUUCUGAAUUUCUCUUUUUGAUCGUAAAAUGUCUUUACUAGAGCAACUUGUUACUUCAACAUUCCUACAUAAAAAUAUUCAUAUUUCCUUAGCUAUAUCCAAAUCUUCAAAAUAGUUUUUAAAGUUUUCCUUGCAGAGUGGGAAUACCAAUGAUGCAGCACUCCUCUGGAUUUAGAUUUCAUUCAAAUUCUAAUAGGGUGAAUAUUCCUAGCCAAAAUUCCUUCUAAUCCCAACUCCUAAUCUUGUUUCCAUUGAUCAUCAUGGUGAACUACUUCUUUUUCUCUUUGGGCAGAGUCUCCAUGGUGCAUUGCUACAGUGAUAUUUGCCUUGCUUUAUUUAAUUGCUCUUGCACUAGCUGCAUUUAUGAUAGCUAAGGGUAAGUAUUUUUCAGGUUUUCAUUAACUUGUUAAAAGUUACUAGAAUAGAAUUUUGAAGCAUUUGAAAUUAAUUCUAAGGCUUUACUAAAGUUAUUUUCCUCAUUUGUUAUUUUAGUUGCAUAAAAGUAAUUUUACCAAUUCAGUUUUUGAAUUAUCAACAAUAGCUUUGUCCCAGGUGAGCUUAUCAAAGAUGUUGGUGGAUAGCUGUGUAUUUUGAAAAAAAAUGAAAAAUAAUAGCAAUGUUCUUUAUGUUAUUGUAUUUUUACUGACAUUAGACUUAGCAACUGUGAGAUGUAAGAAAACUUGGAGAUAUUUAUAGAAUUUAUUAUUUGGGCAGUUAAAAACUAACUGUAAGGACAUCAAGUCAGGAAUUUGAAAGAAAUAAUCUAAUAGAAGAAAUAAAAUGAUAAUGGGCAGAGAUUCA